Papaver somniferum (opium poppy) is the source of this 2440-nucleotide long non-coding RNA. RefSeq lists it as uncharacterized. Lineage: Eukaryota; Viridiplantae; Streptophyta; Magnoliopsida; Ranunculales; Papaveraceae. The record is from RefSeq and is a predicted model, not a curated record. The transcript is spliced from 3 exons.
UUGAGAGAGGUGAAAAAUAGCGGCGUUGUGGGUUUCAAAGAUUGAGAAUAGAGAGAGUUGCUGAUGAAGAUUCAAAUGGAAGAAGAUUGGGCUACUGUUGCUGCAAUUGAAGAUGGGUUCGUUUCAGUGGAAAUGAAGAAACUCGUGUAGUUUAAUCAGAAGAAUGGAUUUCGAAUUGGGGAUCUGAUUUCUGCUGUUGUUUAAGUAUUGGAAGAACGAGAAGAAUUAGAGAUGGGUUUGAGUCUGAGGAAGAAAUUGCGAAAGGGGUUGUCUCUGUGGUGGUGCAUGAAUUAUGAACUGAUAAUGAUUUGUGUUAUUGGAGCUGUGUAGGUUGAGAUGGAGAUUUUAAGGGUUGUGAAAGACGUCAGUAAAGGAGUUGUAGCUAAUAUAUAACUGAGCUACAAAUGCUCAUGGUGGUGAUGAAUCUGGUGACGAUUUUGGUGUAUUUUAGAGAUUGGGUUGAUGAAUAUUGUCGAUGUAGAAGAUUGGGUUUGAUCUGAUUCUGAGAAUCCAUGAAGAAUUAUUGAUGUUGGUGAUGUUGUUGCUUUUGGUUGGUAAUGGACCUGAGCAUGGAACUGAUGCUGAGAUAUGGGUGAAGGAUUGAUGGUUUGAUCUGAUGAGUUGCAGUUGAACAAUAGAAGAAGAAUACAGGGAAUUGAAGGAGUUACUGUGAGUGCAAUGAAGUUGAGACUGCAAGAUGAUUAGAUGUAUGAUGCUAGGAUUGUGUAGCUGAAAUGAUGUUGACAAGCAACUGUUGAGUUGGUGUUGCAGGUGCCAGUGAUACUGAGAUUGUAAUGGUGUCGGUUGGAGGUUCUGCGAGUUAGAUGAUGUCAAGGAUGAGCUAGUAAUGGAUGGACCUAAGUGUGGGUGUUUUGAGUUGAGAAGAAGUUGUAGAAUGAGCUUGUUAUGAGCUCUGGGUUGUUUUUACAAGCUUCAGUGGUGACUAGGAUGUUUGCACUCAGGUCAAGAGGUAGAUAUUGCAGGCACUAGAGUGGUUGUGGUGGUUGCUGCCCAUGGAUAUUGCAGAUGUAUUGAAGCUGAAGUGAAGUGAAGGAAAUGGCUGAGUUGCAGUCAUGUAACAUAUGAGAGGAAGUUGUAUUUGCUGCCGCAUAUAUUGGUAUUACAGGAUCAGCUGGAAGAAUGAAUGAGUUCUGAGCAGAUGGAGUUGUUGUUGGCUUGCAUAAGAGUAGUUAGUGCUCUACUGAGAUGAUGCAAGAAUGAAGUGGUGUAUGGCUUAUGAAGCGCCAACAUGGCUGGGUCUGGAUUUUGUGAUGCAUUAUCAUUGUGCAACAACAAGUUAUGGCCUGAGAAAGACUGCAAUGGCUCAGGCCAAGGCCACUCAGCUUAGCUGAGUCUGGCUAGCUAUCUAACUCGUCUGUCUGACUCAUGAUCUUACUGAGUUAAUCAAUUGACUCGGUUGACCUGACCGAGCUGACUCGUUGACCGGUGACCGGGUGGGCUUUGCCGGUCACUUGAGAUACUCUCCCGGCGAUUUCCGUCCAACUUCCGGUACUUUGACCCAGUUUUCCGGCGACCACUUUUGUGACAUAUUUUCACAUGGGUAUUCCUCACAUAUUGGCUUGGUGGACAUCUUUGUAUUGGAUUUGGGAGAUUGGACCUAAUUUUAGAAGUUGGAGAAAAGCUACAAAAUAAAGAGUCUUCUACUUCUUUUGGAUGACGUAUUUUUCUACUGGGAGUUUUGGAGAAGAGCGGCGAUUCUACUAGUUGAGAGAGAAAGUGAAAUUAUUUUUGACGCAUACGACAGCGAAGACGUUUCUAUGGAUGCUGUGAGAGUGGUGCUAACUGCACGCCGAACGGAUAACGAGGUGCAAUGGAGUCCUUUUGAGCAAAAGAAGGAGAAAUCGUGCAUUUGAAACGUAAAAGGCAAAAAGGUCAAUUCACGGCGAGUGAUACUUGGAGCCAGCUAAAGUGAUGCAACAAAGGAGGUGAAGAAUGAAUUGUCACAUAUCACUCGCAUACCAUUUCAAACCACGUAAAUUUUUGUUGGGUGUUUUUCACUAGAACGCACAUCUUCUCUUUGGCUUUCUCAACAAUCCAAUUGGACGCGUCAUUUUUAUCCUCCCAUUCCAAAUCAUUAGCGUAAUGUGCGGAAGUAUCAGGACCCCUAAUUUGGUGAGCUUGAGGCUAAUCCUUCAUCGGUACCAAUGCAAUAAUCUACAAAACAUCAAAAGUUAGUUGAUAUGUAUUACCAAGGUCGGCAGGGUCGACAUAUAAAACAAUGUCGACUACAAAAUAGCCGUCAUGGUAGAAAAAUUCAACAGUGCCGACCAAACAAUAGUCGGCAGGGUCUACGCCACUAUAAUACCGGCGUACUGAUUAAAGAUUAUUGAUUAUGGUUGUAGUAAUGAGGUUCAAACUCUCGGAAUUGUGAAGAUUAAAUUUAAAGAUUUAAUUAAAUUAUAUACAAAAUUUUUAACAA